Oryctolagus cuniculus (rabbit) is the source of this 2029-nucleotide non-coding RNA. The record is from RefSeq and is a predicted model, not a curated record. Lineage: Eukaryota; Metazoa; Chordata; Mammalia; Lagomorpha; Leporidae.
UGAUCUGCUGCAUCUUCUGUGAAGCUGCUUGUGCUGAAGGCCAUGCAAACUGUCCGUUCAGGCAUGGUGACGUCCACGAAAAGUCAUCCCGCGGGGUCUUGAUGUCACAAUCUUUCAGUUAUGAGGUGGAGCAUGGAGAGGGAGAGGUCUCUGCUGCCGCAAGGCUUCCGAGGCUCGCAAGGGAGAUCGGGCUCUGCUGCUCUCUACCUUUGCUCAACCGAGAGGCUGGACAUCUAGGAAUACGAGAGCCGACAUGGUGAGUGUGUGGACCGCAGUGUGCAGAGGGGGAAGGCGGAGCCGAAGGUCAGGAGGUCUCUCUGCUACUGUGUGAUUUGGACACUGUGGUUUUAUUUUAUCUACAAGGAACCUGAGAAUAAAAGAGGCCAAGCAGCUUGACAACACAAAUAGGAUGUGGGCCAUUCCAAGGUGGUUGCUGGAUUCAUGUCUUCCUGCAAUGUGACUGAAAAGCUGAAGACAAAUUUGGAGAUCAUCAGGUCUAAACAUUGAAGAGUCAGAAUAAAAAUUUUUGAUCUGCCCAGAGUAUCAGCCAGUGAAAGCACCCUGGUGUUAUCUACCCUUCUGUAUUGUGGCAAAGGAUGAUGAAACAGUGUUCAGCAUUCUGCAGAUUAUAUGGUCUAAACACAGCAUGGACAUCAGUGGGUGCAGCUUCCCUCAUCUCUACAGCCAUGUGUUCACAGUAACAAAUAAGGGAUGAAAAGACCGUAUUGGACUCUCUGUCUCAUUGUGACUGGAUCAUCAUGGUACAUCAGGAGUGCUGCUUUUAUGCUAAUUGCUCCAGCAUCAUUAAGGACAAGAUAAAGACCCUCCAAGAAGACCUUGAAGCUCUAGUUACCUGUGGUUGGGGCUUGGGGAUGGCUUCCUUAUCUCCUCCCCCUUGUGGGCCCCUUGGUCUCCAUUGUCCUUGUAAAUUUGUCCAAGAUUGCAUCACUGCAGUCCAGUUAAUGGUGGUCCAACAACAAUAUGCCACUCUUUAAGAACCGGGUUAUGCUGCUCUUCAAGCACCAGAUUGGAAACCCUAUAUAUCUGCCCAUGGCCGCUGCCAAGAUGUAGAGGUAUAAUACAUCAGACUCUGAGUUGCUGAGGUGGUAGCCAAUGAUGGGUAAGAUCCCCUUGGGGUAGCCCUUAACAGCUGGAGAAGUAGUCAAAGACAGGUAAGAUCCCCAGAGGGGGACAAUCUAAGGUAGACAUGCUCCCUAAAAGGCUGAUACCAGUCAGAGGGGACAACCUAAGACAGGCACCCUAUCCGCUCAGUUCCUCUUCCUCUCUUUAAUAUAAAACAAAAAGGGGGAAAUCUUGGGCAUUGCUUAAAAUCUCCAUUACAAUAUGGCACCUGGCAGAUGUUCGAGGGGCAUGUCUGCAGCUGCUGAUCAGACCACCAGCAGGGAUAGGUCUGCUUUAGUUCUGGACACGUGGACAGUGCGUGAUACCUAUACUUUGCUUAAGAUGCCCCUGUGCAUGGUCCACCCAUGCCUGCAUGACCUUUUUGCUGAUUGGCUCCCCUACUGCCCAUGUCUUUUGUAAGCUUUAUAAGGCUGCAUACUUCUUCAAUAAAGUGGUUCCUGCUUCCACAGAACUCACGGGUGCUUGUGGUGUGUUCAUCACCCGUCGACCUUACCCUUCCCAUUUGCCUUGUUGGGGUGUGCUUGCACUGCCCCUGCUGGUCAGGGGCUAGCAUUGGGCUUGAGACUCUGACAGAAUAGUCUAUUUGAAAAACAGUGUAGAUCAACUUUUUGAGCAGUCAUAUAAGGAGCCUUCUACCUGACAGCAUCAGAACACAUACACUUAAAAAAAAAGUUUAUUUAGUUAUUUGAAAGACAGAGUUGCAGAGAAAGAGAGUAAGAGAUAAAUUGAUAGAUCUUCCAUCUGCUGGUUCACUAACCUAAAGGCCACAACAGUCAGGAAUGAGUCAGGCGAAAGCAGGAGCUAGGCGCUUGUUCCAGGUCUCUGACAAGGAUUCAGAGGCCAAGGAAUUGAGGCAUCUUCUGCUUUCCCAUGUGCAUUAGCGAUG